GAGGUAUAGAUGAGAUGAGAUAAGGUGGCAAGUGUUGGCUCCCUCCAAAACCCACAAAACUUAAGCUUCUCUCUCCAUCAAAUUAUACUCUGCUGCCAUGGCGGUGGCAGAGUUUAUUCCUUCUUCUUCACUCACUAAAACCACAUCUCUUUAUCCUUCACAAUUUUUGCAUGUAUCAACCCACAAGCCUCGAUUAUCACUAACUCCUCUCCGAAGAAGUAAAAUAUGCUGCUCUGUUAUCUCUAAUGCACCAGUACCGGUGGCAAAGGAGCCAACUAAAAAAACUGAAUGCUUUGGUGUUUUCUGUCUUACUUAUGAUCUCAAAGCUGAAGAAGAGACAAGUUCUUGGAAGAAGCUGAUAAAUGUCUCUGUUUCUGGUGCUGCCGGAAUGAUCGCUAAUCAUUUUCUUUUUAAACUUGCAUCAGGUGAAGUUUUUGGGCCAGAUCAACCAGUCGCAUUAAAAUUAUUGGGGUCUGAGCGGUCGAUCCAAGCCCUUGAAGGAGUUGCUAUGGAACUAGAGGAUUCCUUGUUUCCUUUGCUUAGGGAGGUCAGCAUAGGCAUAGAUCCUUAUGAAGUGUUCCAGGAUGCUGAAUGGGCACUUCUCAUUGGAGCAAAGCCUCGAGGUCCUGGAAUGGAACGGGCUGGCUUAUUGGAUAUAAAUGGACAAAUCUUUGCUGAGCAGGGAAAAGCUCUCAAUGCUGUUGCAUCUCGUAAUGUCAAAGUUAUAGUGGUGGGAAACCCUUGUAAUACCAAUGCAUUGAUUUGUUUGAAAAAUGCUCCAGACAUACCUGCAAAGAAUUUUCAUGCAUUGACGAGAUUAGAUGAAAAUCGAGCAAAAUGCCAGCUUGCUUUGAAAGCUGGAGUCUUCUAUGACAAAGUAUCUAAUAUGACCAUCUGGGGAAACCAUUCGACUACUCAGGUUCCAGACUUUUUAAAUGCAAAAAUUAAUGGUUUUCCAGUCAAAGACGUCAUUAGAGACUCUAAAUGGUUAGAGGAAGAGUUCACUGAAAAGAUUCAAAAGAGAGGUGGUGUACUUAUUCAGAAAUGGGGAAGAUCUUCUGCUGCAUCGACUGCUGUAUCAGUUGUUGAUGCAAUGAGGUCUCUUGUGACUCCUACACCAGAAGGCGAUUGGUUCUCCACUGGCGUGUACACCAAUGGAAAUCCUUAUGGGAUAGCAAAGGAUAUAGUUUUCAGCAUGCCAUGCAGAUCAAAAGGUGAUGGUGACUAUGAACUUGUCAAAGAUGUAUUAAUGGAUGACUACCUCCGAAGCCGAAUAAAAAAGUCAGAAGAUGAAUUGCUUGCUGAGAAGAGAUGUGUCGCGCAUCUUACAGGAGAGGGUAUUGGUAUAUGUGAUCUGCCAGGAGACACAAUGCUCCCUGGAGAAAUGUGAAACCAUGGAGCAAGGUUAUCAACGGCUUUUGACCUUUGUUGAACGGGUUUAGAUCCUAUGAACACAAAGCACUCCUCUUCAAGAUGGGAGGG
This is an RNA transcript of Solanum lycopersicum (tomato), 1482 nucleotides long. It is a transcript of the gene named chloroplast malate dehydrogenase, with no coding region annotated. The record is from RefSeq and is marked validated. Lineage: Eukaryota; Viridiplantae; Streptophyta; Magnoliopsida; Solanales; Solanaceae.